Molecule: long non-coding RNA, 302 nt
Organism: Sinocyclocheilus anshuiensis
Lineage: Eukaryota; Metazoa; Chordata; Actinopteri; Cypriniformes; Cyprinidae
Exons: 3
Source: RefSeq, a predicted model, not a curated record
UCAGAUAAUACGGCCGUAUUACAAUUUUUAUACAGUCUAUGAUUACAACAUUAUACGUCGGUAUUUCUAGGAAGGAUUUAAUAUCGCGGUGUUAUGGAGGAGGUGGAUGUUGAGCCCAGUCCCACGCUCAUUCCCAGCGCUGGAUUUCACCAGAGGCAUUUGGGUUUUGAAUGGGGUCCUGGAGAUCUGUUAGUCUAUGAGACGAACUACAGACUGCAAGGUUCGAGGUCUGCAGGCUCUCCGUUCGUUCACAUCGUGUGGAAAGAUGAAGACAUCUGCUCUCCCAUCCUGCGCAAACUCUU